CAGCGAAAUGCGAUACGCAAUGUGAAUUGCAGAAUUCAGUGAAUCAUUAGAAUGCUGAACGCAUACUGCACUCGAGGGAUAUGCCUUCGAGUAUGCCUGCCUCAGUGUCUC
This is a ribosomal RNA of 111 nucleotides. It matches the Rfam family "5.8S ribosomal RNA", at positions 46 to 154 of the family's 154-position model. Rfam says of the family: 5.8S ribosomal RNA (5.8S rRNA) is a component of the large subunit of the eukaryotic ribosome.